AACGAUUCAGUAUCUGUAGUGGCUUCAAUGCAUUCAAGAUGUCAGUCAAACUGCAUAUACUUCCUUAAUGACAACGAUGGUAUACAUUGUCAGCAUACAUUUGACGACUUCGGGGUGUAUAAUGUCAAAAGUCAAAGCGUUACAAAACCUGCACGUUUGAGGAACCCAGUGAAAAGGACGAGGUACCCUCCAUUUAUGUUUCAACCAACUGUUUACAUGUAACAGUUUAUUAUGUCCCUUAGAAUAUUAUUUUAAAGUUAAUUUACUUGGAACUCAGGAAUAAGGGGUAUGUUGUUCUUCUCUCUGAAUUUACGCCCUUUGUCUUAUCAGAUUGGGCGACUUUGCAAUGGAACUUUUGUAUAUAUUUUUGAUGUAUAGUAGACGAUUCAUGGCCAUUUGCAUGUCAUGGCGUUGUCAGAUAAAGAACAAAAAUUUGUAAACGUGAUAAUUUGACGACUCUGUCGCUCUUGGUUUCAGAAAAUAAAAAGGAUACAUGGAAUAAAGUCCAUGCAAUUAAGACUUUUAAAAAAAGUGAUUUUGUGGAUCUUGAAAAAGAUGGUUAAUAACAAUAGAUGAAAAUUCUGUAGUAACUCUAAUAAAUUUAUUAAUUUGGGUUCAAUGUGGAAGAGAGGCCCCUUCACCGAAGCCUAAAACUGGUUGUUGGGCUUAAACAUCAUGAUCAUUUUGUCUUCAACGCUAGGAUAUCAGCAGACCCGAUCUUAAACUCCAAAGAUUUGAAUUGUUAUGGUUAUGUACGUGCGUGAUAGUGAAUUGCUCUAUUUCUUGGUGACGACGAUUCAAUACGUGUCGUGGCGUCAAUGCAUUUCAUAUAUGGGUCGAAAAAAUGACAACGAUCCGAUUGGUGCUUGGUAUUCAUUUUAAGAAUUUCGGGAUGUAUAAUGUUAAAGUAAAAAAGUUACAAUGACUUGUUAAAACCUUGUCAGUUGUUUACAUGUAACCUGCAAAAAGAACUUUUGGCCGGAACCUUGUCAGUUGACUCACCCAUGGCUUUAUUUGUUUGCAAUGUCACUUACUGCCCUUAACGGAACCUAAUUCAUCUAUUAUUAACGCAAAGAGUAAAAUACCAAUUCCUCAUGAAUUUUCACUUGGUUUUCGAUUUUCCCCCUAAAUUUUUUAAUUAGAAAAUUAAUGACUUAAACCAACUUUUUUGGUCGAUUCCCCCUACCUUUAGUUUUUCAUAGAUUCCAUUAAAAAAACUUUAACUCUUAUCACAUGCACACCACGUGACACUCAUUUGUAGACAAAAGCAUCACUUCACUAGACCUUUAGACACAAAAGUUAUAGAAUCACACAUAUUUGCACAGGUCAACAUUUUAGAAAUCUAGGGUUUUCAAUUAUUUUAAAGAUUGAACUACUCUCAUAUGUUGUUCACAUGCUCCCGUUUAACAAAAAAUUAAAUGAAAUUAAUGAAAAACUAACAGUAGGAGGAAAUCGGCCAAAAAAAAAUUAGUUUGAGUACUUAAUUUUCCAAUUAAAAAGUUUAGGGAGAAAAUCGAAAGUUAAGUAAAGUUGAUGGGGGAAAUUAAUAGUUUACUCUAAAAGCAAAUGAAACUACUAGCAAUACAUAUACAUUCACCUCCAACAUCAUAUAAGUUCAAGGAAAUCAUCGUUUGGUUGUUCUAAUUUAUUUUUGAAAGUACAUAUACAAAAUGUAAACACCAGUAUACCAGUUGAAAUUUCAAAUUAAUAUUUUCAUAUUAUCGAAUUAAAUUUUCAACCCUAGCAAAUGGACUACAAACCCAUUGAUUUGGUCCUAAACAGUUACAUACUAAUAACGGGACUCACUAUAGACUUUUAAUAUCAGCGUAAAUAACAGGAUAUUUUCUCGAUUUUUUGUUGUUGGCUACUGAGUCGUUACACUGCUUUUAGUUGGUUGCUGUUGAAGACUGAAUAAUGAUACUAGGAUUACCUCAUUUCAUGUGGAGAUUGAACAAUUCUUUAUAGAGUAAAAAAUUUAGGUAGGAUAUGGUCUUAGUAAAUUGUGUAGUGAUAAUAAAACCACCCAGUACACGUUCGUUUGUUUGGGUUUUUGUUUUAUGUGUAGGUGGGCAAAACCCACAAUCAAAUUACAUUGAGAAGCGUUUGUAGGUUUGUUUCAGUUUUUCUUUUUCAUUUCUCUUCUAAUGUUUUAAAAAUGUUUAAUAAUUUUUUUUUAAGAUUAAGUAACUAAAAUCUCCUAACGUUUUUGUAUCAUUCCAAAUUAAUCUCAACUUUUUUCAAACAAGUACAUCACCUAUAGAAAAAUGUUAUAUCCCUUAAGCCCCAAUUAGAUUUCUGUUAAAUUAAAUAGGUUUACUUUGUCUCCAACAUCAAUAGAAGGUCAUGAAACAUGACUUCCACCAGGUAUUGGUCACCAUUUAAAUUUUCAUGGACGGAAAGAGCAUUGAAACUGGGCACAAAUUCCUCAUAUUUAGUUAUGUCACUCUUGAAGAAAGCGAAAUUGAUGAAUAUUUCCGGUAAAGGCAUCAUUCAACAUAUUUGGAUGAUCGCAAUCCAACUAACAUACUUGCUAGCCGCACUACCACCUCGUAGCAGCAGCAACCACCCUUGUAAUAAUGCGGGUGCCGGCACAAAUCCCUCUCUCAAAACUGCAGCUUCAAUCAGUCAGACCUUCAGCCGUCGGUGUGAGAAUCUCUAAGGCUGGGGCCCAAUGUUUUGGAUGUGAGAAUCUUGACUUUAUUUGGGACCAAUUUUGGUUGAUAGUUCAUAGUUGGCCUUUGUAUGCAAGUGAAUGAUGUAAAGUGACCAGGCAGAAAACGAGACAUGCAGGAAAAACCGGUUACAAAACCCUAAAGUUGGACCAGCAUGUGUAUGUGUAGUAUGAAGAAACAUUCAAAUUUGAGUAAUUAAUUUCCUCAUUCAUCUUGGAAGUUGAAACAUUAUUUAUAUACUAAAACCCAAACUCGGGUGGUACUGUUCAUUAACAGUAAAUUGACGAAAAUGCCCCUCAAUUUUUCUUCCUCUCCGUUUUGAUGGUGAGUUUUUACAGUAAUAUGACCGUUUUGCCCUUUUGAUUGUACGUGUCUUUCAUCCAUCCGUGCUUUUUUGUUUUUCUACAGUGAAAAGGCUAUUAUGCCUUUUUACUCCACCUGUCCGUCAUCAAUGCAUGCUUGGGUUAGGUGUUCUGGACUUUUCUUUUGUCAAGCCCACGUGUUGGUCAUCGCGUGGUACUUUGAGUGGGUUUUAUUUUGUUCCGUUUUAUUUCCUCUCACUUCCAUCUUUGUUUCACGGUCGUUCUCACAUGUUAAAUCCUUUUUGCCUAAAAAAUUCCUGCUUCGGGUCGUCGCGAAUUUUCGUGUUGUUGCUUUCAGUCGGUGUUUUGUGCAAUUCUGCAGCCUGCGGUUGCUUGGAAAAUACGAAAUCAAUGUAAGGUUUUUAUUUGCAACCUGUGAAGACAUCUGUUUUUAAGGUGAAGAUUUUUGAAAUUAUGUGCUUUUAAUUCGAAGGAUAGUGUGCUUGCUUAUUGUUAAUUAUUUUUAUUUCGUUUUGAAUUUGUUAGUUUAUCUUUUGUGCAUCUAAGUGUAUGAUUCAAUGUUUUAGACUGAAUUUUUAUGGUUUUGAGUUUGUGGGUUUUUUUGGGUGCAUGAGAAAAUGUUAUCCAAUGGUUUGAUUCAACAUUUUUCCUCAAUCUGUUGCAACUUUGCAGUCGCUGCGCCCCUUUGUCAAACUUUGUUUUCUGUUUUUUAUUUUUUCUGUGCUGCUUUUGUAAAAUUGAAGUAGGAGUUUGACAGAUGUUGAUGAAUCCCGCAGUUUAUUGGCGAAGAGAACAACACCUUUUGUAAUGUUUGUAGUCAUUUAUCCACAUAUUCAUAAAGUGGUGUUAUUUUUAUGGAUGAUGGUUGUUAAUCUUUUGUAUUGUUAAUUUCGUAGCGUGUGGGUUGCUUGGAGACCACCGGGUUAUGCUUUUGUUCAUUGGAUCACGGUAGAGAUGCAAAGGAUGCAAUUGGUGAAUUAGAUGGUAUGUUUAAUAUUUGGUUGUUGAUUUUUAAUAUUGGGUUUUCUUAGUUUAUAUCAUUCGAAUCCAGCAUAAGGGAGAAUCAUAAGUUCAUCAGCAACAUUGUUUGUGACGUAGCAUAAUUAGAUGGUAUCUGUUUUGAGAUGCAUAUUUCAAAAUCUUCCUUAUGCAACCUGUGAUUUUUCACGAACUAAGACUUGAUAACCACAUAAUAUGUCUUGUACAUGUGACACGAUAACCACAUAAUAUAAUCAUUCAAUCUAAAAGAACUAAGACUUGAUCCUAUAAAAACAAACACAUGUUUUGUGAUGUAUCCAAAGUUUUGAGAAAAAAAAAAGAGAAAAACACUUACUUAAAAAGCACCCUCUCCAAAAUUAAGAACAUAAACACACACUAAAUUUUCUUAAAACUAAAAACUAGAGGUUCCAGGUUCGAAAUAUGUUGCUGGUGUGGAAGAAGCCAUGUUUGUGGUCAGGAAGAGGUUGAAAUGACUCUAUGAAUCUUCCUGGUCCCGAAAUGAAUAUAUAAUCUUAAUUUACCAUCAAUUAUUUUUCUUUAAAAAAAUAUAAAAAUAAAAAAGUGCCACUCACAUGACCCUCAUAUAGUCUAUUCCAGUCACGUGUCCCGGUGCGAGACACAUGUGCGACUCCGCAAGACUUUCUCUGUGCACUCAUCCAAACCAAUCCAACAUUCCAUUUACCCCACAAUACCGCUGGCGCGUAACCGUCAUCCACCUCAGCGCGUACAACAUAAUAUCUGCAGUCGUUUCUCAAGCGUUAAACCAGCAUCCCUGCAACCACACCAAUCUGUGUGCCAUUAGGUCCGAUCAUCUUUUACUGUUCCUCGCUUGGCACGCGUCCUUCGUCGCUGCCGUUUCUGUUUCAGUUCUCUGCUUUUUCUUCUUUGCUUUCCAUUUCUCUUCUCUCUCUCGCCCUCCUCUCAAGUGUUUUGCAAGCAUUUCUCCCUUUCUCUUUGUCGCCAUGGUCUCCAUCACUCUCAAACCUUCGUUUCUUCUAUCCCUGUCAAAUCUUGGCUUGCUGGAAAACUCUGAAGCAGUUUAAGCUUCUUCAGCUUUUUGAUUUGGAUUGAAGAUGAUUUUAAGCCAACAAGUUUAGCGUUUUCUGGUAAGUUGUUUGAAUCCUACAUCUUGGAGUUUUUGUUUUUAUUUUUUCAAAUCUAUGGGUUUUGUUUUCUUCAAUUUUAAAAUAUUAAAAAUUGAAUCUUUUCUUUUGGGUAAUAUUUUUCAAUUAGAUUAUGGUAUGGGUUCUGAUGAGGCAUGCAAUUGGGUUUGAGAGUUUUGAUUUAAUGAGAGAGAUAAGGAGUAUACUAUACACGGAGAGAGGGAGGAAAACGGGAGAGAAGGGACCUUAUUUCCUUAUUUCCUUUAGGAAAUAGGAACAAGUAAUUGAGGAUACGGUACACCUAUAAAUAAAGGGUUUAGCCUAUUUUCUAAAGCACAUCUAUUCAACCUUCAAUUGGUCUUCUGAUAAAGCAUCAAUCUUCUCUAUCUCGAGUCUCAAACCAGAAAACAUCAAUCUUUUCAAUUCUUCUGUAAAAAAAUACACCUCUUCUAUUUUUUCAUCAUGCAAUCAGGUAUAUGUUUUUUUAUGUUGUUCUUAUGUUUUUUUACCGAAAUUAUCGAAUUGUGCACUGGUUAUAUACACAAAGGCUAAAAAGCUCAAUCUUUUCCUAGUUUCUUGUUAUACCAUUCCACAAAAACUAUAACUUUUAUUAUUAUCGGCAACUGAUCUCUGAUGUUUUUUCUUUUUUGCUUGUCAGAUUGGGCGAACUUGCCAACAGAUGUUUUGUCUUUGAUUUACGACAGGUUGUCUGUUGCAUCUGAUUGCGUGCAAUUCAUGGCCGUUUGCAGGUCAUGGCGUUGUAUGAAAAAGGACAGAAAAUAUAAACGUGCUAGGUUGACAACUCCAAUGGUCUUUGUUUCUGAGAGGAAAGAAAAUACAUGGAAUGCAUAUGAUUUUGUGAACAAUCAAGUCCUUGGUUUUCAAUUAAAAUUACCAAAGACGCGAUUUUGUGGGUCUUCCAACGGAUGGAUAAUAACAGUGGAGAAUUUUGUUGUAACCCUAAGGAAUCCACAAUAUGAUGUUAAAGGGAGGACAGAGAGGCCUUCAAUCAUUCGCCUUCCUCCACUAAAACCUCAAGUUAAUUACAAACUACGAGGUUAUGUUAAAGCUCAUUCUGACUAUUUUGUCAUCAAGGCUACGAUGUCAGCAGACCCGAUCUCAAACUCCAAAGAUUGCAUUGUUAUGGUUCUGUAUGAACCUCUUAGUCAAUUGGCUUUUAUUAGACUUGGUAAAGACACAAGGUGGACUUAUAUUGAUAAGCAUGGUGAUGAAAUCUUUCCAUGGAUUACAGAUGUUGUUCUAAUUGAAGAUAAGAUUUACGCGGUUGAUGCUUGGAGCAAACUUUGGGCUUUUGAUUCUACUUCCAAAUCCAUCGUAGAUGUACAAUUGGUUGCUACUGGCAUAGCAGAUGAACCUCAGAAGAUGUAUCUUGUCGGUUCAAAGAAGAAAGGACUAUUGCUGAUUUACAGAUUUAGUGAGUAUCGAUUGUUUACCCGCGAGUCGAGAAAAUUUAGAAUUUUUGAAUUGAGUUCUAAUGAUGAGUGGAUUGAAAAAAACGACUUGGGUGAUCUUGCUUUGUUUCUAGGUGAUAAUGAUCCAAUAUCUGUAGUGGCUUCAAUGCAUUCAAGAUGUCAGUCAAACUGCAUAUACUUCGUUAAUGAUAACGAACGUAUAAACUGUCGACAUACAUUUGAUGAUUUCGGAGUGUAUAAUGUCAAAAGUCAAAACGUUACAAAACCUGCACUUUUGAGAAACCCAGUGAAGAGGACAAUGUACCCUCCAUUUAUGUUUCAACCAAUUGUUUACAUGUAACAAUUUAUUAUUUGUCCCCUAGAUUAUUAUUUUAAAGUUAAUUUAUGAGAUCUUGUUUGGAACGGACACAGGUACAUGAACUAGUUGAUAGUUGAUAUAUAUAUUUUUUAUUAUUAAAAAAAUUACAAAAUCUAGUACAAUUCAAGAUAAUCAGCUGAUAAAUUACAAGAUGUUGGGAGAGGGCGGGAGGGAGGGGAGGUUCAGUGGAUGAAUUAGAAAGGGGAAAAUGAGUUCAGGAAAUAGCAUCAAUUGUAAGGUUCCGUUUUGGUGGAGACUUGUCUGUAAAUUUAUGUUUCAACCAAUUGUUUACAUGUAACAAUUUAUUAUUUGUCCCCUAGAUUAUUAUUUUAAAGUUAAUUUAUGAGAUCUUGUUUGGAACGUACACAGGUACAUGAACUAGUUGAUAUAUAUAUAUAUAUAUAUAUAUAUAUAUAUAUAUAUAUAUAUAUAUCAACUAUAUAUAUGACGCCAAAUAAAAUACGUGCAAAACUCAACAGUUUUGUGCAAUAAUCAAUCACAUUCAUGCACCAAAAAGAAUCAUUAAGUCAAAUUCAUGUAAUUCCUUUUCAUGUGAGUGCAUGGGGCGUGUACUCAUGGCUUGGUAGCCGCCACAAAAUAUGACGCCAGCCAUCAUAUUCUUUGCACCUUUUUCUUAAUUUCAAACGAGACAAAUUUGACAAUCAUAUCAACUCCUUCACUGUUAAACGUGGACGUAACCACAUUGUUAGACCACAUUUUCUUUUUAGGUCACUUGAGUUCAAAUCAAAAACCACUCUCACAGUACAUAUAUCAAAUUGAAGUAGAAUAUCGCUCAAAAAUAUUGUCCCUCCACCAAAGCCAUUUGCUUCAAUGCUACAUUGUUUGCUUGAUAAUAUCCAAUUACAUGCGUUUGCCCUUUUUAUUAACAUCCCAUAAAUUAAACUAGCCUAUUGCCAUAAGGUUUGUGACAAUUGGUUUUUUUGAUUUUUGAUUUGAAAAAAAUAGAAAAACAAAAUAAUAAUAUAUUUUUUGAAAAGAUAAAGUUAGUUACGGGAAUGGAUUUUUUUUGUGAAUUUUUAUUUUAUUUGAAAAUUUAAUGAGAAAUGGCAAUUUUAGGAUUAUGAAUAUUUCAUCAUUUUUGCCUUCUCCCUAUAUAUGAUAAACCAUAAUACAUAACUGCUAACGUAGUAGAAGGAGAAAAUAUUACCAUGAGAGAUAAAAUUUGGUAACUCUUUAUUUACUUUUUGUCCUCCUUCUUUUCUUCCUUUUUCUCCUCCUUCUUUUCCUCUUUCUUCUCCUCUUUCUUUUCUUCUUUUUUCUCUUCUUUCUUCUCUUCCUUGGCUGGUCCGACAGAUACUAUGUCUACUUUCCCGACCUUCUUCAACUUCUUCACUACAGCCACUGGAUCCAUCAGUCCUACAACUGUCAGCUUCUGGUCCUUUAUAUCUGCCGCGAUUGAAUCAAUCCCUGUUCACGAAAUAACCCAAAAACAAAAUAAAUAAGAGAGAAAUAAAGAAGCUUUAAUUAGGUUUAAUAACAAAAGUGCUUCUGACAACGUUUGGCAGAAAAAAAUUCAAAGUAGUUUUAGUUUUUUUUUUUAAUUUUAAAACCCUUGUUUUCAAUGAAGGCGUUUGUGAAUAUAAGUGCUUUAAAGAAGGAUAUCCAAACAGAACCGUAUAAUUUUGAGAAUUUCUUUUUAUAUUAUUGAACUAUUGAAGAUAUAACCAAAACUGAGUAAAGAUAAAUGAAAAUAAAUACCAAAAAUAUCAGCGGCAGCUUCAAUGGCUUUCUGCUUUGUUUUGUCAUCAGUCAUGGUCAGGACCAAAGAAGAAAAAAUCGAUAAUAUCGGCGAUAUCACACAAUUAAGUGACAUAUCACACAAUUAAAUUUUAGGAAAACUAAUGAAAAUGGCUUGAAAACUUUGAGUUUUAACGAUAAGAACAAAAUAAAGGGUAAAAUGAAUAGUACAAUAAUUGACUUUUUAGUAUAAAAAUAUGAUUUUUCGUUAAAAUAAACAGUAUCGGGAGUUUUUCGUUAAAAUUCCCUUAAAUUUUAGGCAAGAAUAAGUUUUAACAAAUGAGUCAUAAUUACGUGGAUUGAUAUAAGAACUUUUUGCUGCCAAUUUUGACUUAUGAGUUGUCAAUUAUUUUUCUGAUUGUUUUGUUGUGUGUCCCACUCAUGGUCCGAAAUGCCGAUAAUAUCGGCGAUAUAUCGCCGAUAUUAUCGGUUUUUAGGGGAACCAAAAUUUUUUUCACUAUCCAAAUGGUUUUCGGGAUAAUAUCGCGAUAUUAUCGAAAUUAUCGAUAAUAUCGGAAUGGGAAUACUCGGAGAAGAACGUCGGAGUUCGCCGAGUUGCAGAGACGAGAAGGAGAGGGAGAAAGACGAGGUUGCUGAUGAUGAUGGGUGUGCGUGUGUGUAUGUGGGUCUCGGACCCUCGGUGCAGAGAGAAAGGAGAGAGACGGCGGCGACGAGGGAGAAGUAGAAGCCGAUCUGCCGAUGUAGGUCUCUGUGCGUGUGUGUGGGAGUGGGAGAAGGAUCGAGAGACCUUGGGUCUCUGUGCGUGUGUGUGUGCGUGCGAUAGGUGCGUGCGUGCUGCGGUGCAGAGAAGAAAGAUGAGGGAGAUAUGAGAGAAAGUCGAGAGGGAGACAGAAGAAAAAGAAAAGAAAACAAAAAGAAGAAGCAAAGAAGAAGGGAGUCACAGGGGAACAGAGAGAGAAAAGAGAAGAGCGGAGGGGGGGCUGCCACGUGGCCACUUCAGAAAGAAAGGGAUCCAAUGUUUUGGAUCCUGAUUGGGUAGUCAAAGAGGACCAAUUUGAUAUAUUAAAAUGUUUAGGGGAUAAUUACACAAAUAUAUCUUUAUAAAUGGGGGUGGGUGUUACAUAUUGCCCUAAAAAACUCCAAGUAAUUACAACAUCGUAUUAGAAUUUUAAUUGAUCCUUGUUAGAUUUGGUUUAGAAAUUCUAUGUAAUUUAGUGAUUGUUUCAUAUUAGGUUUAGAUUUGAAUUUUUUACUCCAUUCAGAUUUUAAAGGAUUAUAAUAGAUUUAAAAAUUUAUGAAUUUUGAUGAAGUUUAAUAAUUUUAAAAACUUUUAUGUAAAAUUUUAAGUGAAUUCCCUCAAAUUUUCAGGGAGCGAUUUGAGAAUGUUUAAAAUAUUAUGUGAAAUAUUUCUAAUUUUUUCGAGUUUCCCAACUUUUUAAAAAUCUCUUAGAAUCAAUUUCUAAAUGAAUACAUUUGGAAUGUAUGAAUUUCUUAAAAAUCAUGAUCGAAUACCCCUUAAACUUUAAAGAAUCAUUUAAAAUCCUGAUUAAAUGCCCUUAGAUUUUUAAGGAGAAUUAAAAUGUUUAUAAGCCCCAAUUGGAUGUACCUCUUAAUUUAACUAAUUGACACAACACAACAAAACCAAUUAAGAUUACAAAUUAACACAAAAGACGACUUGAUGCGAGGUCAUAUCUAAAAAACUUGCCGCAAUAAGCCCCAAUUGGUGUGUUUAAACUUCUUUAAUUAAUUACUACAUAUUUUCUACACUCACAAUGUUUGUCAGCUCGCUAUAUAAUCAACUUGAUAAUGUUAAAUCCAUCAUGCAAUGCAUUUCCUUCGAAUUUUUUGUGAUAAACUAAUAGAUAAUUGACUAAAUAAACAUCCUGAAAAGUUUCAAUAAAAAUUUCUAAGUUUUUCUUACAAUUUCCGUGGUUUCCAUGUAAUUUUUAUCGAUAUCGAUAUUAUCCCGAUAUUUCCAUCGAUAUUUCCGUGUUUUCGGACUACCGAUAUUUCCGAUAUUACCGAUAUUUAAUACCUUGGUCCCACUAAUGCAUCAAUUGCAAAUCAUGAAAAUUUAUCGAUCCUGAUUUCCUAUUAAAAGUAGGAGAUACAAAUAUUAUUAUAGAGUAAACUGCCGAUUUGCUCCCUGAACUAUCACCCAACUUUCAAUUUGCCCCCUGAACUUUUUAAUUAGAAAAUUAAGGACUUAAACUAAUUUUUUUGGCCGAUUUCCCCCCUACCGUUAGUUUUUCAUAAAUUUCAUCCAAAUUAACGUUAACUCUUAUCAUGUGCAAACCACAUAACUCUCAUUUGUGGACAAAAGCGUCAUUCACUAGACCUUCAGACAGAAAAGCUAUAAAAUCACACAUAUUUGCAUAGGUUUAUAUUUUAGAAAUCUAAGGUUUUCAAUUAUUUUAAAGAAUGAAGUGACCGAACUACCCACACAUGUUGUGCAUAUGCUUCCAUUUAACAGAAAUUUGGAUGCAAUAAAUGAAAAAUUAACAGCAGGGGGCAAAUUGGCCAAAAAAAUUAGUUUAAGUCCUUAAUUUUCCAAUUAAAAAGUUCAAGGGGCAAAUCAAAAGUUGGGUGAUAGUUCAGGGGGCAAAUUGGCAGUUUACUCUAUUAUUAUAACAAAAACAUGUGUUGGAAGAAGAGAAAAUUUGACCAUAUGAACUAUUAAAUUAACAUUUGAAAUCUCCAUUAGAAAUGCUCUUGCAACCUCACAAGAACAUGCCUGUCAAACUAACAUUUAUCGAUCCCGAAGGUGCAUCGCCACCCUCCACGUGUCCAGGAUAUUUUCGUUGGUUAUAGGAGUAUAUUAGGUCGUGGACCCACACAAGGAUCACUACUAGAGACAUGGUAGAGAUGACCAAGCAGCCCGACUAUAGAAGGAACAUUCUCUUCUUCUUUGUUUUCCUCUCUUUUCAUUUCCUUCUAUUUGAAUGAUUACGAUUAAGUCAUGUUAAUAUUUUGUAUUAAAUUUUUAUAAAACAAAAAACAAAGUAUGAGAGGAGGAAAGAAAAUGAGGGAAUAGGGCUUUAUUUGACUACUGUUAGGGCAUGCAUCCAUAUUGGAGUGGUCUGUGAUACCAUUUAAAAAAAAAAAUCAAGUUUUGAAUUUUUUUUUUUUAACAAACGAUAUUGUCUACACUAAAAGGGAAGAGGUGAGCUUAGUCUCAUAACGGGCUAUGAAUAAUGUGGUUCAAAUUUGCUUUUUACGAGAAACGAACAUACGACCUUUCACUUACAAGUGAAAAGAAAUAUCACUUUUUGAUUCAAAAUUUCAUGAUGCAUUGAAAAAGAUAAAGAUAGACCGGUAUGGAUGUGCUAAGUAUCUAGUAUAUAUGUAUACAUGUAAUGAUUAGCAAAGGAGAUCUUUCUGUUGCCCUUUUACUUGUUUUUCUAAUUUGUAAAAAUAAUUGUUGCUUUCCUUACCUACAAUUAUCCGUGAUUAAUAUAGAAAGAACCAAUAUAAUAAGAAGAAAAUGAAACAGUUGACACAGCUGGUGACUUUGGAAUGCAGGAAUAAGGGGUCAGUUGUCUGCUUUUUCUUUCUUUGCUUUCCAUUUCUCUUCUCUCUCUCUCUCGCCCUCCUCUCAAGUGUUUUGCAAGCAUUUCUCCCUUUCUCUUUGUCGCCAUGGUCUCCAUCACUCUCAAACCUUCGUUUCUAUCCCUGUCAAAUAUUGGCUUGCUGGAAAACUCUGAAGCAGUUUAAGCUUCUUCAGCUUUUUGCUUUGGAUUGAAGAUGAUUUUAAGCCUACAAGGUUAACGUUUUCUGGUAAGUUGUUUGAAUCCUUCAUCUCGGAGUUUUUAUUUUUAUUUUUUCAAAUCUAUGGGUUUUGUUUUCUUCAAUUUUAAAAUAUUAAAAAUUGAAUCUUUUCUUUUGGGUAAUAUUUUCCAAUUAGAUUAUGGUAAGGGUUCUGAUGAGGCAUGGAAUUGGGUUUGAGAGUUUUGAUUUAAUGAGAGAGAUAAGGGUGAGGGAAAAACGGAGAGAAGGUAUGUGUGCGCUCGUAUAUUCCUAUUUCCUUGUUUCCUUGUAUAUUCCUAUUUCCCUAUUUCCUUAUUUCCUUUAGGAAAUAGGAACAAGUAAUUGAGGAUACGGUACACCUAUAAAUAAAGGGUUUAGCCUAUUUUCUAAAGCACAUCUAUUCAACCUUCAAUUGGUCUUCUGAUAAAGCAUCAAUCGUCUCUAUCUCGAGUCUCAACCCAGAAAACAGAAAACAUCAAUCUUUUCAAAUCUUCUGUAAAAAAAUACACCUCUUCUAUUUUUUCAUCAUGCAAUCAGGUAUAUGCUUUUUUCUGUUGUUCUUAUGUUUUUUUACCGAAAUUAUCGAAUUGUGCACUGGUUAUAUACACAAAGGCUAAAAAGCUCAAUCUUUUCCUAGUUUCUUGUUAUACCAUUCCACAAAAACUAUAACUUUUAUUAUCAUCGGCAACUGAUCUCUGAUGUUUUUUCUUUUUUGCUUGUCAGAUUGGGCGAACUUGCCAACAGAUGUUUUGUCUUUGAUUUACGACAGGUUGCCUGUUGCAUCAGAUUGCGUACAAUUCAUGGCCGUUUGCAGGUCAUGGCGGUGUAUGAAAAAGGACGGAAAAUAUAAACGAGCUAGGUUGACAACUCCAAUGGUCUUUGUUUCUGAGAGGAAAGAAAAUACAUGGAAUGCAUAUGAUUUUGUGAACAAUCAAGUCCUUGGUUUUCAAUUAAAAUUACCAAAGACGCGAUUUUGUGGAUCUUCCAACGGAUGGAUAAUAACAGUGGAUAAUUUUGUUGUAACCCUAAGGAAUCCACAAUAUGAUGUUAAAGGGAGGACAGAGAGACCUUCUAUCAUUCGUCUUCCUCCACUAAAACCUCAAAUUAAUGGACAAAUAAGAGGUUAUGCUAAAGCUCAUUCUGACUAUUUUGUCAUCAAGGCUACGAUGUCGGCAGACCCGAUCUCAAACUCCAAAGAUUGCAUUGUUAUGGUUCUGUAUGAGCCUCUUAGUCAAUUGGCUUUUAUUAGGCUUGGUAAAGACACAAGGUGGACUUAUAUUGAUAAGCAUGGUGAUGAAAUCUAUCUGUGGAUUAAAGAUGCUCUUCUAAUUGAAGAUAAGAUUUACGCCGUCGAUAGUCGGAGCAGACUUUGGGCUUUUGAAUCUACAUCCAAAUCCACCGUAGAUGUACAAUUGGUUGCUACUGGAAUAGCAGAUCGGCCUCAAAAAAUGUAUCUUGUCGGUUCAAAGAAGAAAGGACUAUUGAUGAUUUACAGAUUUAGUGAGUAUCGACGGUUUACCCGCGAGUCGAGGAAGUUUAGAAUUUAUGAAUUGAGUUCUAAUGACGAGUGGAUUGAGAAAAACGACUUAGGUGAUAUUGCUUUGUUUGUGGGUGAUAACGAUUCAGUAUCUGUAGUGGCUUCAAUGCAUUCAAGAUGUCAGUCAAACUGCAUAUACUUCGUUAAUGACAACGAUGGUAUACAGUGUCAGCAUACAUUUGACGACUUCGGGGUGUAUAAUGUCAAAAGUCAAAGCGUUACAAAACCUGCACGUUUGAGGAACCCAGUGAAGAGGACGAGGUACCCUCCAUUUAUGUUUCAACCAAUUGUUUACAUGUAACAGUUUAUUACUAGAAUAUGUUACCCGCGCGUUGUUGCGGGAUAAAGAAU
RNAcentral lists this long non-coding RNA (14242 nucleotides) under Malus domestica (apple). RNAcentral's name for it is "long non-coding RNA (MDOM_LNC007159)". The record is from RNAcentral. Lineage: Eukaryota; Viridiplantae; Streptophyta; Magnoliopsida; Rosales; Rosaceae.